UACGUAGGGAGCAAGCGUUGUUCGGAUUUACUGGGCGUAAAGGGCGCGUAGGCGGCGCGGUAAGUCACUUGUGAAAUCUCUGAGCUUAACUCAGAACGGCCAAGUGAUACUGCAGUGCUAGAGUGUAGAAGGGGCAAUCGGAAUUCUUGGUGUAGCGGUGAAAUGCGUAGAUAUCAAGAGGAACACCUGAGGUGAAGACGGGUUGCUGGUCUAACACUGACGCUGAGGCGCGAAAGCCAGGGGAGCAAAC
Molecule: ribosomal RNA, 250 nt
Filed under: uncultured bacterium
Lineage: Bacteria
Description: partial 16S ribosomal RNA
Rfam family: Bacterial small subunit ribosomal RNA
Source: RNAcentral